UGACCAUAUUUCAUAUUUUUUGCAGAGAUUUGAUCCUCCGGUUGCUGAUACUUCAUCUACUCGUAGAGAUAAUGAUGCCGUCGACCCUUGAUACAUCGUAGAUUGUUUACUUAGAAAUUUAAGAUGUAUGUUUUUAGUAUGUUUUUGAAGUACAAUAUAAUCAAAUAUGAUAAUAUGAAUAUUUUGAAUGAAAAGUUCUUGUUUGUGA
This is a non-coding RNA of Phoenix dactylifera (date palm), 208 nucleotides long. The record is from RefSeq and is a predicted model, not a curated record. Lineage: Eukaryota; Viridiplantae; Streptophyta; Magnoliopsida; Arecales; Arecaceae.